CGGAGUGUAGCUCAGCCUGGUAGAGUGCUAGCUUCGGGAGCUAGAGGCCCAGGGUUCGAAUCCCUGCACUCCGACCA
Molecule: transfer RNA, 77 nt
Filed under: bacterium
Lineage: Bacteria
Also listed under: 1 other name
Description: tRNA-Pro
Rfam family: tRNA
About the family: Transfer RNA (tRNA) molecules are approximately 80 nucleotides in length. Their secondary structure includes four short double-helical elements and three loops (D, anti-codon, and T loops).
Source: RNAcentral